ACAACAUUAGGACCGUCUGUCUAUCGAGCGAUAUUACCUGCUCGGUGGAAAAUCUUCCUUUCAUCGU
Molecule: non-coding RNA, 67 nt
Organism: Bombyx mori (domestic silkworm)
Lineage: Eukaryota; Metazoa; Arthropoda; Insecta; Lepidoptera; Bombycidae
Source: Rfam